This 1487-nucleotide ribosomal RNA is filed under the name metagenome. RNAcentral describes it as "bacterial LSU rRNA". It matches the Rfam family "Bacterial large subunit ribosomal RNA", at positions 1463 to 2925 of the family's 2925-position model. The record is from RNAcentral.
UAAGGGGGGACGGAGGAGGCUAUGUUGGCCGGGCGACGGUUGUCCCGGUUUAAGCGUGUAGGCUGGUUUUCCAGGCGAAUCCGGAAAAUCAAGGCUGAGGCGUGAUGACGAGGCACUACGGUGCUGAAGCAACAAAUGCCCUGCUUCCAGGAAAAGCCUCUAAGCAUCAGGUAACAUCAAAUCGUACCCCAAACCGACACAGGUGGUCAGGUAGAGAAUACCAAGGCGCUUGAGAGAACUCGGGUGAAGGAACUAGGCAAAAUGGUGCUGUAACUUCGGGAGAAGGCACGCUGAUAUGUAGGUGAAGCGACUUGCUCGUGGAGCUGAAAUCAGUCGAAGAUACCAGCUGGCUGCAACUGUUUAUUAAAAACACAGCACUGUGCAAACACGAAAGUGGACGUAUACGGUGUGACGCCUGCCCGGUGCCGGAAGGUUAAUUGAUGGGGUUAGCGCAAGCGAAGCUCUUGAUCGAAGCCCCGGUAAACGGCGGCCGUAACAAUAACGGUCCUAAGGUAGCGAAAUUCCUUGUCGGGUAAGUUCCGACCUGCACGAAUGGCGUAAUGAUGGCCAGGCUGUCUCCACCCGAGACUCAGUGAAAUUGAACUCGCUGUGAAGAUGCAGUGUACCCGCGGCAAGACGGAAAGACCCCGUUAACCUUUACUAUAGCUUGACACUGAACAUUGAGCCUUGAUGUGUAGGAUAGGUGGGAGGCUUUGAAGCGUGGACGCCAGUCUGCAUGGAGCCGACCUUGAAAUACCACCCUUUAAUGUUUGAUGUUCUAACGUUGACCCGUAAUCCGGGUUGCGGACAGUGUCUGGUGGGUAGUUUGACUGGGGCGGUCUCCUCCUAAAGAGUAACGGAGGAGCACGAAGGUUGGCUAAUCCUGGUCGGACAUCAGGAGGUUAGUGCAAUGGCAUAAGCCAGCUUGACUGCGAGCGUGACGGCGCGAGCAGGUGCGAAAGCAGGUCAUAGUGAUCCGGUGGUUCUGAAUGGAAGGGCCAUCGCUCAACGGAUAAAAGGUACUCCGGGGAUAACAGGCUGAUACCGCCCAAGAGUUCAUAUCGACGGCGGUGUUUGGCACCUCGAUGUCGGCUCAUCACAUCCUGGGGCUGAAGUAGGUCCCAAGGGUAUGGCUGUUCGCCAUUUAAAGUGGUACGCGAGCUGGGUUUAGAACGUUGUGAGACAGUUCGGUCCCUAUCUGCCGUGGGCGCUGGAGAACUGAGGGGGGCUGCUCCUAGUACGAGAGGACCGGAGUGGACGCAUCACUGGUGUUCGGGUUGUCAUGCCAAUGGCACUGCCCGGCAGCUAAAUGCGGAAGAGAUAAGUGCUGAAAGCAUCUAAGCACGAAACUUGCCCCGAGAUGAGUUCUCCCUGACUCCUUGAGUGUCCUGAAGGAACGUUGUAGACGACGACGUUGAUAGGCCGGGUGUGUAAGCGCAGCGAUGCGUUGAGCUAACCGGUACUAAUGAACCGUGAGGCUUAACCUU